GACGAACCGUGCGAACGUUGUUCGGAAUCACUGGGCUUAAAGGGCGCGUAGGCGGACUCGCCAGUCUGUGGUGAAAGCCCCCAGCUCAACUGGGGAAGGGCCGUGGAUACUGCGAGUCUGGAGGAGGGUAGGGGCAUCUGGAACGCUGGGUGGAGCGGUGAAAUGCGUUGAUAUCCAGCGGAACUCCGGUGGCGAAGGCGAGGUGCUGGACCCUUUCUGACGCUGAGGCGCGAAAGCCAGGGGAGCGAACGGG
RNAcentral lists this ribosomal RNA (253 nucleotides) under uncultured bacterium. RNAcentral's name for it is "partial 16S ribosomal RNA". It matches the Rfam family "Bacterial small subunit ribosomal RNA", at positions 524 to 776 of the family's 1533-position model. The record is from RNAcentral.